AAAACAUGCGGAGCGGCGGAGGUCUCAAACUUGUUUAUUUGUCCCUGAAGAACGCAACAAGACGAAAAAGAUGAUUAUUAUUUCGCGAAUCGAGAAAUGGCGUCACUGCCGCCGACUUCUAAUGGAACAAGAAAUGCAGUUCGAUAGACCCGAGCACACCGGUAGGAGAUCGCCUUCGAAAUAAAUCCGUUAUGUGUUUCGCAACGCCCUGUAAAGGCAACACCCGAGUUCAUGAUCAGACUGUGCGCGUUUAUUUAAAGGAAUGCAAAGUUGGGGCUAAAACGGUUCAAACUCAAUUUUACGUUAUAACACAGGCGCGCAUAGCUCCUGCAACUUAAAGCGACAGUUACCGCUUUGCAUCCGGUCGAAAACCAUUCGAAUAUCGAAGCCACUCAACCGCACAUCCUUCAGCGAUAGCCCAAGGGUUUAGCCAUUCUUGUGUUGUGAAAAGGGCGGAAAAAGAGGCGUCGGUUCGUAAUACCACAUACGAGUAAUUGAAGUAUCUACUUACCGUCAGGGUCGCCGUCGGACUGAA
Molecule: long non-coding RNA, 535 nt
Organism: Cylas formicarius (sweet potato weevil)
Lineage: Eukaryota; Metazoa; Arthropoda; Insecta; Coleoptera; Brentidae
Exons: 3
Source: RefSeq, a predicted model, not a curated record